RNAcentral lists this ribosomal RNA (116 nucleotides) under Bacillus altitudinis. The record is from RNAcentral. Lineage: Bacteria; Bacillati; Bacillota; Bacilli; Caryophanales; Bacillaceae.
UUUGGUGGCGAUAGCGAAGAGGUCACACCCGUUCCCAUACCGAACGCGGAAGUUAAGCUCUUCAGCGCCGAUGGUAGUUGGGGGUUUCCCCCUGUGAGAGUAGGACGCCGCCAAGC